This 24-nucleotide non-coding RNA is filed under the name Arabidopsis thaliana (thale cress). Lineage: Eukaryota; Viridiplantae; Streptophyta; Magnoliopsida; Brassicales; Brassicaceae. The record is from RNAcentral.
GAAUUGUUAUUUCAGAGUAAUUAG